This is a long non-coding RNA of Pecten maximus, 396 nucleotides long. RefSeq lists it as uncharacterized. The record is from RefSeq and is a predicted model, not a curated record. The transcript has 3 exons. Lineage: Eukaryota; Metazoa; Mollusca; Bivalvia; Pectinida; Pectinidae.
UCUGGGAAUGCUCGUCGCCGGAGCAGUAACGCUUCAGAGCGACUUUGUGUCGAACAGUUUCCUCAGUCCCCUUUUCGGAAAUCUACGGUUCUGCAACAUUUACCUUCCUGAACUAAUGCUUGGACUGGGUGUGGCCAUGAUAACAGUUGGAGUUUUCAACACGGGAAGCGUGUGGUCUUGUACAGAACAUUCUCUGUUUUAAAUCAAAAUCAAAGAUUUUAAUUGACCGAAUCCUACAGAUAAUUAUGAGUGUGGUGCACAUUAUGAUGCUUAUCUUCUGGAGCAGAAUGCUGUACGUUGUCAGGGACCAGAUGGAGUUCCAACUAUAUAAAGAAUUUCUGGGUUAUGAUAGUCAGCUCGACUACGGAGAUUAUUUUACCCAGUCAUGGAAGGCAC